RNAcentral lists this ribosomal RNA (3049 nucleotides) under Thermodesulfobacteriota bacterium. Its description in RNAcentral is "23S ribosomal RNA". It matches the Rfam family "Bacterial large subunit ribosomal RNA". Lineage: Bacteria; Pseudomonadati; Thermodesulfobacteriota. The record is from RNAcentral.
GGUCAAGCUACUAAGGGCAUACGGUGGAUGCCUUGGUGCCGGGAGGCGAUGAAGGACGUGGUAAGCUGCGAUAAGCCUCGGGGAGCCGCUAAACAGGCUUAGAUCCGGGGAUCUCCGAAUGGGAAAACCCAUACCGGGUAAUACCGGUAUAUCCCGUCAUGAAUCCAUAGUGGCGGGAGGCGAACGAGGGGAACUGAAACAUCUCAGUACCUUCAGGAAAAGAAAUCAACAGAGAUUCCCUGAGUAGUGGCGAGCGAAACGGGAGGAGCCUAAAUCCCGCAUAUGCUAAAGCCUGUGAGCGUUGUAUGCGGGAGGUUGCGGGGUCUUAUCGGAAGUCUUCACAGGGACUUCGGGGGGAAUUCAUUUCCAUAGCUGAAUCCACUGGAAAGUGGAGCCAUAGAGGGUGAUAGCCCCGUAAGCGAAAUGGAAAUGAAACCCCUGGAUAAGAUACCCAAGUACCACGAGACACGGGAAAUCUUGUGGGAAUCUGGGAGGACCAUCUUCCAAGGCUAAAUACUACCCGGCAACCGAUAGUGAACCAGUACCGUGAGGGAAAGGUGAAAAGUACCCCAAUGAGGGGAGUGAAAUAGUACCUGAAACCGUAUGCUUACAAGCAGUGGGAGGACGGUGGAUACCGGAAGGGUUCGCCCUUCGGGUAUUCUGUCUGACCGCGUGCCUUUUGCAUAAUGAGCCUGCGAGUUACUCUAUGUGGCGAGGUUAAUUCCUCAAGGGGAAGGAGCCGGAGCGAAAGCGCGUCUUAAAAGGGCGACUUAGUCACAUGGAGUAGACCCGAAACCAGGUGAUCUAUCCAUGGCCAGGGUGAAAUUCGCAUAACAGCGAAUGGAGGCCCGAACCGGUGAAGGUUGAAAACUUCUCGGAUGAGCUGUGGAUCGGAGUGAAAGGCUAAUCAAACCUGGAGAUAGCUGGUUCUCCCCGAAAUAUAUUGAGGUAUAGCCUCAGGACAUUCGUUGACGGAGGUAGAGCACUGGAUGGGCUAGGGGUCCUACCAGAUUACCAAACCCAACCAAACUCCGAAUGCCGUCAUACGUUAUCCUGGGAGUCAGCCCGUGGGAGAUAACUUCCAUGGACGAGAGGGGAACAACCCAGACCGUCAGCUAAGGUCCCUAAGGAUAUGCUAAGUGGGAAAGGAUGUGGAAGCGCUCAGACAGCCAGGAGGUUGGCUUAGAAGCAGCCAUCCUUUAAAGAAAGCGUAAUAGCUCACUGGUCGAGUGAGUCUGCGCCGAAAAUGUAACGGGGCUCAAGCAUAUCACCGAAGCUACGGAUCCCGAUAACCCUCGGGAUGGUAGGGGAGCAUUCCAUGGUAGGGCGAAGGAUGACCGCGAGGACAUCUGGACGAGAUGGAAGAGAUCAUGCAGGCACGAGUAGCGAUAAUGCUGAUGAGAAAUCAGCACGCCGUAAACCUCAGGUUUCCUGAGCAAGGGUAAUCCUCUCAGGGUUAGUCGAUCCCUAAGCCGAGGCUGAGAAGCGUAGGUGAUGGAAAACAGGUUAAUAUUCCUGUACCACCGGAUUGGCGUUUGAGCGAUGGGGGGGUGCAGAAGGGUAGGUCAUCCAGGUGUUGGAUGCCCUGGUUCAAGCCCGUAGGUGGGAAUUCCAGGCAAAUCCGGAGUUCCAAUUGCAAACACCGAGAGGUGACGACCACCCCGAGAUUCGUCGAGGGGGAAGUGACUGAGCCCAUGCUGACAAGAAAAGCCCCUAGCAAGUCAAUCAGGUGAUCGUACCGCAAACCGACUCAGGUAGGUGAGGAGAGCAUCCUAAGGCGCUUGAGAGAACCCUGGUUAAGGAACUCGGCACACUAGCACCGUAACUUCGGAAGAAGGUGUGCCAUGAUCCGUGAGAGGACUUGCUCCUUGAGCGGGUCAUGGUCGCAGUGAAACGGGGGUGGCGACUGUUUACUAAAAACACAGGAGUCUGCGAAGUCGAAAGACGAUGUAUAGGCUCUGACGCCUGCCCGGUGCUGGAAGGUUAAGGGGAUUCGUCAUGUCGUAGCGAUACGGCAGAAGCGUUGAACCGAAGCCCCAGUAAACGGCGGCCGUAACUAUAACGGUCCUAAGGUAGCGAAAUUCCUUGUCGGGUAAGUUCCGACCUGCACGAAUGGCGUAACGACUUCCCCGCUGUCUCAACCAGGGACUCAGCGAAACUGUAUUGGCGGUGCCGAUGCCGUCUACCCGCGGCAAGACGGAAAGACCCCGUGCACCUUUACUACAACUUGGCAAUGAAUUUCGGAAUAGUCUGUGUAGGAUAGGUGGGAGACUGUGAGAUCUCGGCGCCAGUCGGGAUGGAGUCGUCCUUGAAAUACCACCCUGAUUGUUUUGGAAUUCUAACCUGGGCCCGUCAUCCGGGUCGGGGACAUUGCCUGGUGGGUAGUUUGACUGGGGCGGUCGCCUCCUAAAGGGUAACGGAGGCGCGCAAAGGUUCCCUCAGGCUGAUUGGAAACCAGCCGUAGAGUGUAAAGGCAUAAGGGAGCUUGACUGCAAGACCUACAAGUCAAGCAGGGACGAAAGUCGGCCUUAGUGAUCCGGCGGUUCCGCAUGGAAGGGCCGUCGCUCAACGGAUAAAAGGUACGCCGGGGAUAACAGGCUAAUUUCCCCCAAGAGUUCACAUCGACGGGGAAGUUUGGCACCUCGAUGUCGGCUCAUCGCAUCCUGGGGCUGUAGCAGGUCCCAAGGGUUUGGCUGUUCGCCAAUUAAAGCGGUACGCGAGCUGGGUUUAAAACGUCGUGAGACAGUUUGGUCCCUAUCUGCCGUGGGCGUAGGAUACUUGAGGGGAGCUGUCCCUAGUACGAGAGGACCGGGAUGGACGAACCGACGGUGUUCCAGUUGUGACGCCAGUCGCAGCGCUGGGUAGCCGUGUUCGGAAGGGAUAACCGCUGAAAGCAUCUAAGCGGGAAGCCCACCCCAAGAUGAGGUAUCCCUCCUGGUAGCGAUACCAGGAUAAGACCCCUCGGAGACUACGAGGUUGAUAGGUCAGAUGUGUAAGUGCCGUAAGGUACUUAGCAGACUGAUACUAAUCGGUCGAUCGGCUUGACCAU